GGGACAGUGGCAGAACGGAUAACGCGCCUGACUACGAAUCAGGAUAUUUCCUGUUCGACUUCUGGCUGGCUCG
Molecule: non-coding RNA, 73 nt
Organism: Caerostris extrusa
Lineage: Eukaryota; Metazoa; Arthropoda; Arachnida; Araneae; Araneidae
Source: the annotation of a GenBank genome assembly